This is a long non-coding RNA of Daucus carota subsp. sativus, 2179 nucleotides long. RefSeq lists it as uncharacterized. NCBI's taxonomy places the organism in Eukaryota, Viridiplantae, Streptophyta, Magnoliopsida, Apiales, Apiaceae. The record is from RefSeq and is a predicted model, not a curated record. The transcript has 9 exons.
UCUAUAUUAUAAAGCCUGUUGUUUUUUUAGGCUCCAAAUGACCAUUUGACCCAUAUGUAUUCACUGUAUUUUCAAAAGCAGCUCUGUACAAUACCCGUAUGUAUACGUACGUGCAAUCUAAACCAUUCUUUCUCUUACCAAACUUCCACGCGUCGCUCAUCCCUCCCAGAUUCUCUUACCCCAAAUCAUCUUCCUACAUUCAAAUUUUUCAAAAUUAAUACGACUGUUGCAGUUUUUCAGAUGUAUUUGCUUCAGCUGUAAUAGAUGGAUUCUCUUGAAAAGGCUCCUCUCAAGUCACCGGCACCGAAAUUGGAUUAUUAUUGAGGGUCGAAGUUGGUUGUCUAAUUGGAGAUUGAAAAUCAAAAAUGGGUAACAAUUUUGGCAUGUUAAUUUUACAAGGUUCUUACAUAGAAGUUAAUGGCAGGGAUGGUUCUAGAGGAUGGAUGGUCAUCUAUAAGCUCAACGCUUCAGUUUUUCUCCCUAAUGUCUCUUUUACCUGGCAUUGGAUCACCUUAUCCAUGGCUCAGAGAAAUGAAAUUAGAAAAAAUAGAUUGUUGGGAAGAAAUAUGUAAGACUCUAUCCUACUUCGUUGUCAGAGGAAUUUUGCCUACAUUCUGAAUCAAUACGAUGCAAUUCUAGCAAGAAAAGUAGCAAUCUGCAAGAUGAUAAGACGCCAAUAAGAUCUGGGACUGAAUGAUUGGAGUUCUGGCAGUGAAUCUGAUUACCAUGUCAUUUUUACUUGAUGAAAUCAAGAAAUCAAGGCCAAGCUUUGGAGUGAUACAACCUUUCAGAAGAGUAAUCUUUCUAGGGAUAAGACUCUAAAUGGAUGCAACAAGCCAGAAGUCGAGAAAUGGAGUUGUUAUUGCAUUGGUCUUGCUCACUAGGAACAUUGGUGGCUACAGAGUGGCUGAGAUGGCUGAUGCUUCUAGAGCCGUGAAACAAUGGGGAAAUCAAUUUAAUUUCUUACACGUCUCAGUUCCAGAAAUAAAUGGAAUCAGACGUUCUAACCCGAUUCAGUUUGUUCACAAGGCAUAGGAAAUCAUCAAGAGAAAGAGAGAAUAUGCAGCUGUUUUUCUCACUAGCAGAAUAUCAAAGACAAUGAGGAUAUAGAGGCCAUGAGAUAUGCACACAAAAGAGUAGCAAUAAAGACUUCUGAAUUUACACCAUUUUGUUGUAUUACAAAAAAUGAUCUAGCAUUUUUAUUGUUUCAACAAUGCUGUAUUUUGUGAAUUAGACCAUGGCUCAGUACAUUCAUAACAUGCUGAACAACUCGAGCAUGACUAUAUAUCAUAUAUGAUCAGACCACUGGAACAAAUGUUGUUAGCUGAUCAUUUGGUCAAGGGAUUUAUUUCAUGGUAGUUAGGUUCAGCAGGAUAGUAGUGUGUACACUAUAAAAGCUUCAUUAGAAAGUUGCAUAAGGCUCAACACCAGUUUUGGUCUGAAUGCACACUGGCAUUUAACAAGUAAGAAGACAUUGCAACCUACACUAUAAAAGCUGUAGAUGACCCGAGGACAUUACACUUUCUUUCAAUGAUGUUCUGUCUUUGUGGGAAGAAAAAGAUAGGCAAAACUCUUGAGAAGAUAUAUGUUCCAGAAGAGCAAUGCCUGAAGAACAUUGAUGGUGAGGAAUUAUUUAAAUUUUUUUGCUUCACAUUAUUAUAAUAAUUGACCGGGGCAAGUCCUGAAGAACAUUGAAGAAUCCCCCAAAUCCGAUCAAUGUGCUGCUAUUUAUCAGUCAUUCUACAUUUAUGAAGGGAGAUUGAACCAGCUUUGAGAUUGAACCUUCAUUUGGUGUGGAGGUUUGAGCACUUUAUCCUAUGUCAAAUACACAACUGUGGACGAGUAUCUCAAAAAAUUUGUCUAUCCCAAAUCUAUUUUGUCUGCUACAUUAAGCAUAAUACUACCUUUGUACUGAACUUAUAUAGUUUUUCUACCUGUGAUAUGUCGAAUACUUCAUUAGUUUGGGUUCGUUUCUUGCGACCGUUUAACACAGCAGAGCUUUAGAGUAUGCCCUUUUGUUGAAUAAAAUUAUGAUUAUGGGAUUGUUUUUCCGCCAAUGCUUAGUACUAUAUAAUUGGUUGUUGUGGUGAGCUUCUGCAGCAUGCAUGAAGUUCUUAUUCAUGAUAUUAUUGCACUUAUUUCUUUUUUUAUUUUGGUCAUAUAAGCUUUGUUUCUUCGU